CACGGGUGAGUAACACGUAUCCAACCUGCCGUCUACUCUUGGACAGCCUUCUGAAGGAAGAUUAAUACAAGAUGGCAUCAUGAGUUCACAUGUUCACAUGAUUAAAGGUAUUCCGGUAGACGAUGGGGAUGCGUUCCAUUAGAUAGUAGGCGGGGUAACGGCCCACCUAGUCUACGAUGGAUAGGGGUUCUGAGAGGAAGGUCCCCCACAUUGGAACUGAGACACGGUCCAA
Molecule: ribosomal RNA, 232 nt
Filed under: uncultured bacterium
Lineage: Bacteria
Description: partial 16S ribosomal RNA
Rfam family: Bacterial small subunit ribosomal RNA
Source: RNAcentral